RNAcentral lists this ribosomal RNA (497 nucleotides) under uncultured bacterium. RNAcentral describes it as "partial 16S ribosomal RNA". It matches the Rfam family "Bacterial small subunit ribosomal RNA", at positions 28 to 507 of the family's 1533-position model. The record is from RNAcentral.
GAUGAACGCUGGCGGCGUGCCUAAUACAUGCAAGUCGAGCGAACAGACGAGGAGCUUGCUCCUCUGAUGUUAGCGGCGGACGGGUGAGUAACACGUGGAUAACCUACCUAUAAGACUGGGAUAACUUCGGGAAACCGGAGCUAAUACCGGAUAACAUGUUGAACCGCAUGGUUCAACAGUGAAAGACGGUCUUGCUGUCACUUAUAGAUGGAUCCGCGCCGAAUUAGCUAGUUGGUAAGGUAACGGCUUACCAAGGCAACGAUGCGUAGCCGACCUGAGAGGGUGAUCGGCCACACUGGAACUGAGACACGGUCCAGACUCCUACGGGAGGCAGCAGUAGGGAAUCUUCCGAAAUGGGCGAAAGCCUGACGGAGCAACGCCGCGUGAGUGAAGAAGGUCUUCGGAUCGUAAAACUCUGUUAUUAGGGAAGAACAAAUGUGUAAGUAACUAUGCACGUCCUGACGGUACCUAAUCAGAAAGCCACGGCUAACUACGUG